RNAcentral lists this long non-coding RNA (338 nucleotides) under Elaeis guineensis (African oil palm). RNAcentral's name for it is "long non-coding RNA (EGUI_LNC079366)". Lineage: Eukaryota; Viridiplantae; Streptophyta; Magnoliopsida; Arecales; Arecaceae. The record is from RNAcentral.
ACAUUCAGACAAACCAAAUACUUCCAAACAGAUCCCAGCAAAGAUAAUGUGUUUGUUCUCAAAACAUUGAUUUAGGACCAAAUUACACUUCCAGAUGAUUGGGUCUUCAAAAGAUCUGUUCCCACAAUCAGACAAGAACAAAGCCAUGUAGAGACUAUGACUACCUAUCCGAAAGGAGAUGUCUCUAUUAGGUUCAAUAGGUCAAAAUUAACCAAAUGCCAUAGUUUUAGACAUGAGUCUACAACUGUACAAUCUAGUUUACAGUAAAAAUAAAGCUGCUCAGCAACAACAAGUCCUAAAUUAAACCAAGUAAAUUUUGAACUCAAAGUCCCCCAGCU